Molecule: non-coding RNA, 579 nt
Organism: Paramuricea clavata
Lineage: Eukaryota; Metazoa; Cnidaria; Anthozoa; Malacalcyonacea; Plexauridae
Source: the annotation of a GenBank genome assembly
AACUCAAGAAAUGUUUGCUAUUUCGCUGUCGUCAUGCAGUCGUUAUAAUGCAAACUUUAAAUUGGACCAAUCAGUGUCCGCUUUUCGUGACAGUCCGCCAUAUUUUUGAGAUCAGUGAGGAUGACCACCCACCCAACACCGUUGGUGACCCACGCCCGCGAUAUUUGAUGAACUUUAGACUCCGCUAAAACCACUGAGCUAUACUAUAUUACUGGAGGAAGUGCUCGGCAAAAAAAGUGUCCGCAAAAACAUGGCGGAUUUUCGCGCCAUAUGACGCCAUUUCCAUGACAACUGGUUCCUCCGGCUCAUGAAAUUACCACUGACCAGGCUCAAUUCUGAGCCCGCUACAAUUUUCACCCCCCCCCCCUGGUUUUAUCAAAAAUAUUUUUGCUUUUCGACGUUUUUGCAGUAAAUUCUCGUUGUUUUUUUUAUAUUUUUUCGACUUUUGACCAUUGGUUCCAAGAUUUAAAAGUCGUACACACUAUUCUCACCCGCGAAAGACAAAAAACCGAUAUGAAAACCCCGAAAAAUUUAGGCAAAGACGAUAUUUGAUGGCACAGCUAUUCAGGUAAAUUUUCA